AGUGAACGCUGGCGGUAGGCCUAACACAUGCCAGUCGAACGGCAGCACAGUAAGAGCUUGCUCUUACGGGUGGCGAGUGGCGGACGGGUGAGGAAUACAUCGGAAUCUACUUUUUCGUGGGGGAUAACGUAGGGAAACUUACGCUAAUACCGCAUACGACCUACGGGUGAAAGCAGGGGAUCUUCGGACCUUGCGCGAUUGAAUGAGCCGAUGUCGGAUUAGCUAGUUGGCGGGGUAAAGGCCCACCAAGGCGACGAUCCGUAGCUGGUCUGAGAGGAUGAUCAGCCACACUGGAACUGAGACACGGUCCAGACUCCUACGGGAGGCAGCAGUGGGGAAUAUUGGACAAUGGGCGCAAGCCUGAUCCAGCCAUACCGCGUGGGUGAAGAAGGCCUUCGGGUUGUAAAUCCCUUUUGUUGGGAAAGAAAAGCAGCAGGUUAAUACCCCGCUGUUCUGACGGUACCCAAAGAAUAAGCACCGGCUAACUUCGUG
RNAcentral lists this ribosomal RNA (492 nucleotides) under uncultured bacterium. RNAcentral describes it as "partial 16S ribosomal RNA". It matches the Rfam family "Bacterial small subunit ribosomal RNA", at positions 29 to 507 of the family's 1533-position model. The record is from RNAcentral.